RNAcentral lists this long non-coding RNA (665 nucleotides) under Homo sapiens (human). RNAcentral's name for it is "long non-coding RNA NONHSAT213591.1". The record is from RNAcentral. Lineage: Eukaryota; Metazoa; Chordata; Mammalia; Primates; Hominidae.
GGUCUGCCCUAUAGAUCAUCCUGUACCAGAGAUCUACAGCAUAAUGGCCUGGAAGCAGUCUUUGUUUUGGAGCCAAGCCCAGCAAAGUCUCAAUUCCUUCCCCUUCAAUCGCCAUCUGGAUGAACAAGGCCAAGUCAUUGACCUUCUCUGGGCCUCAGUUUCCUCACCCAUAAACUGGAGCAAAGUCAUCUCCAAGACAGCAGGAACCAUGUUUACUCUUUAAUCAUUGUAUGCUCCCUAAAUAUUUGCUGAACAAGUGAACAAAAAACCUGGUGGUGGUGAAAUUAGACUCCUUCUUGGUGUCACCAGGAGGUCCAGUUAAACAUACCAAGACUUGAGGAAUUAUGUCCAAGGUUCCAGCAUUGAACAUGAAGAACGCAGGAUUUAUUGGCACGUCGUGAUAACCGUAAAGCCCACGCUUCUACUGCAGUGUUGAGUUUGCGUGCCCUUGGGACAGAAGACAGAAUAGCCAACAGGAAAGAAUUCUGCAUGGGAGUCAGAACAUUUGUAUUAAAGACCUGAUUUUACUGGGCAACAGAGCGAGACCUUGUCUCUACAAAAAAUAAACAAAACUAACCAGGCACAGUGGUGUGCACCUGUAGUCCCAGCUACUUGGGAGGCUGAGGCUAUUGGCAGGAGAUCUUCCCAGAAGAAAAAGAAUGGAG